This 1412-nucleotide ribosomal RNA is filed under the name uncultured bacterium. Its description in RNAcentral is "partial 16S ribosomal RNA". It matches the Rfam family "Bacterial small subunit ribosomal RNA". The record is from RNAcentral.
AGAGUUUGAUCCUGGCUCAGGAUGAACGCUGGCGGCGUGCUUAACACAUGCAAGUCGAACGGGGAUGCUUAUGGAAGGAGUGCUUGCACUUUGGAAAUGAGUAUCUUAGUGGCGGACGGGUGAGUAACGCGUGGGUAACCUGCCCCAUACCGGGGGAUACCACCUGGAAACAGGUGCUAAUACCGCAUAAGCGCACGGGAGCGCAUGCUCCUGUGUGAAAAACUCCGGUGGUAUGGGAUGGACCCGCGUCUGAUUAGCCAGUUGGCAGGGUAACGGCCUACCAAAGCGACGAUCAGUAGCCGGCCUGAGAGGGUGGACGGCCACAUUGGGACUGAGACACGGACCAGACUCCUACGGGAGGCAGCAGUGAGGAAUAUUGGUCAAUGGGCGAGAGCCUGAACCAGCCAAGUCGCGUGAGGGAAGACGGUCCUAUGGAUUGUAAACCUCUUUUGUCGGGGAGCAAAGAGGCCACGUGUGGUCAAAAGUGAGAGUACCCGAAGAAAAAGCAUCGGCUAACUCCGUGCCAGCAGCCGCGGUAAUACGGAGGAUGCGAGCGUUAUCCGGAUUUAUUGGGUUUAAAGGGUGCGUAGGCGGGCUGAUAAGUCAGCGGUUAAAAUGCGGUGCUCAACGCCGUAGUGCCGUUGAAACUGUCGGUCUUGAGUGAGCGAGAAGUAUGCGGAAUGCGUGGUGUAGCGGUGAAAUGCAUAGAUAUCACGCAGAACUCCGAUUGCGAAGGCAGCUUACCAGUCUGCGACUGACGCUCAGGCACGAAAGCGUGGGUAUCGAACAGGAUUAGAUACCCUGGUAGUCCACGCGGUAAACGAUGAUUACUAAUUGUCCGGUUCGAAUGAGGACUGGGUGAUACAGCGAAAGCGUUAAGUAAUCCACCUGGGGAGUACGCCGGCAACGGUGAAACUCAAAGGAAUUGACGGGGGCCCGCACAAGCGGAGGAACAUGUGGUUUAAUUCGAUGAUACGCGAGGAACCUUACCCGGGCUCAAACGCAUGAGGACAGUCCCUGAAAGGGGAUCUUCUUCGGACCUUAUGCGAGGUGCUGCAUGGUUGUCGUCAGCUCGUGCCGUGAGGUGUCGGCUUAAGUGCCAUAACGAGCGCAACCCCUAUCGACAGUUGCUAACAGGCAAAGCUGAGGACUCUGUCGAGACUGUCGGCGCAAGCUGUGAGGAAGGCGGGGAUGACGUCAAAUCAGCACGGCCCUUACGUCCGGGGCGACACACGUGUUACAAUGGCAGGUACAGCGGGAAGCCAUGUGGCGACACAGAGCGGAACCCGAAAACCUGUCUCAGUUCGGAUUGGAGUCUGCAACUCGACUCCAUGAAGCUGGAUUCGCUAGUAAUCGCGCAUCAGCCGCGGCGCGGUGAAUACGUUCCCGGGCCUUGCACUCACCGCCCGUCA